AAAUAUAUAUAUAUAUAUAUAUAUAUAGAGAGAGAGAGAGAGAGAGAGAGAGAGAGAGAGAGAGAGAGAGAGUUGGACUGGGCUAGCAAAAUUCUAUUGUUGCUACCAGUUUUUUAGCCUUUGGAUUAACUCUUUUCAUUAUUUCCAACUAUUAGAUUAAAUACUAUAACCCAGUGGGGACCACUCAACCCUAAGGAGACCGUUCAACUCUAAUCGACUAAUAUCAUCUCGAUCCUACAAUUUUUCAUCCAACCGUUAAAACUUGAUAGCAAAAAUAACGUUUUACUAUUAAUAGUAUUCCAGCCUAAUUAUAUAUAUAUAUAUAUAUAUAUUAGGCAUUCAAAAUAUUUUUCUAAAAAAAUAUUAGAAAAGAUGGAUUAAAUA
RNAcentral lists this long non-coding RNA (384 nucleotides) under Ananas comosus (pineapple). Its description in RNAcentral is "long non-coding RNA (ACOM_LNC024826)". Lineage: Eukaryota; Viridiplantae; Streptophyta; Magnoliopsida; Poales; Bromeliaceae. The record is from RNAcentral.